RNAcentral lists this long non-coding RNA (288 nucleotides) under Helianthus annuus (common sunflower). Its description in RNAcentral is "hypothetical non coding rna". The record is from RNAcentral. Lineage: Eukaryota; Viridiplantae; Streptophyta; Magnoliopsida; Asterales; Asteraceae.
UAUGACCGUGUCCUGGAUAUCCUUGGCUCAUUUCAUUUGAAAAUGGCCACGACCUAUGCACGGGGCAUACACCUGACAGAUGCAAAUUCUAAAAUAUAAACCCACAUGUUGGGGAUAACUCCUUUGUGGGUUCUAUAAGGGGUGAGUCGGUUAAUCAUGACCGGCUUCCAAACUGGCCCCAAUUGUAAGACAAACAUGUAAAUCUGUAUACAAGAUUAUCUUUAAAUAAUUGUCCCAAGUUAUAAAUGAUUUGUGCUUUGUGCACCAAAAUCAAUUUUCGUAAAUGUU